Molecule: ribosomal RNA, 815 nt
Filed under: uncultured bacterium
Lineage: Bacteria
Description: bacterial SSU rRNA
Rfam family: Bacterial small subunit ribosomal RNA
Source: RNAcentral
GCAAGUCGAGCGCGCCCUUCGGGGUGAGCGGCGGACGGGUGAGUAACGCGUGGGAACGUGCCCUUUGCUGCGGAAUAGCCACUGGAAACGGUGAGUAAUACCGCAUGAGCCCUUCGGGGGAAAGAUUUAUCGGCAAGGGAUCGGCCCGCGUUGGAUUAGGUAGUUGGUGGGGUAAUGGCCUACCAAGCCGACGAUCCAUAGCUGGUUUCAGAGGAUGAUCAGCCACACUGGGACUGAGACACGGCCCAGACUCCUACGGGAGGCAGCAGUGGGGAAUCUUAGACAAUGGGCGCAAGCCUGAUCUAGCCAUGCCGCGUGAGUGACGAAGGCCCUAGGGUCGUAAAGCUCUUUCGCCUGUGAAGAUAAUGACGGUAGCAGGUAAAGAAACCCCGGCUAACUCCGUGCCAGCAGCCGCGGUAAUACGGAGGGGGUUAGCGUUGUUCGGAAUUACUGGGCGUAAAGCGCGCGUAGGCGGACCAUCAAGUUGGGGGUGAAAUCCCGGGGCUCAACCCCGGAACUGCCUCCAAAACUGGCGGUCUGGAGUUCGAGAGAGGUGAGUGGAAUUCCGAGUGUAGAGGUGAAAUUCGUAGAUAUUCGGAGGAACACCAGUGGCGAAGGCGGCUCACUGGCUCGAGACUGACGCUGAGGUGCGAAAGUGUGGGGAGCAAACAGGAUUAGAUACCCUGGGUAGUCCACACCGUAAACGAUGAAUGCCAGUCGUCGGCAAGCAUGCUUGUCGGUGACACACCUAACGGAUUAAGCAUUCCGCCUGGGGAGUACGGCCGCAAGGUUACAACUCAAAUGAAUUGACGGAA